GAUUCAGAUUUGAUCUCUCUCUUCCUGACGCGAGAAGCAGUCAUCAGACCACAACAAUAACCUGAGAAGAAAUCGUUUCUGCAGAGAGAGAGAUGAGGUUGUUCGAUCCAUGGCCAGUGUUCUUCAAGAGAGAAUGGAAACGUUGCUGGCCGUUCCUCACCGGUUUCGCCGUCACCGGCGUCCUUAUCACCAAGUUAACCGCCGGAUUCACUGAGGAAGAUGCCAAGAACUCCAAGUUCGUCCAGCAACACCGGAGGUGAUGAUGAUGAUUCACGAAAGUGUAGAAGCUAAGAGACAUAUUUCUGGAACAUAUUGUGUCGGAUGCUUCAGCUUUGAAACUUGUUCAAUAACAAAGGAAGAGCAUUCUAUAAUACUCUUUUCUUUCUCUGAGUUUUGCAAUUCUUUUUUUUUUUCUUUCUGAAACUUAGCAAUGCUAUGGUUUUGUUCACUCUCGUUGGAAAUGGAUUCAAUAAGGCUUUGUCUCCCCAAUGAAUAUUAACCUUUUGUUCUAAUAAUCCUGUCAGUGGUUCCAAUCUUAA
This is a long non-coding RNA of Camelina sativa (false flax), 539 nucleotides long. RefSeq annotates it as ATP synthase small subunit 6-A, mitochondrial. NCBI's taxonomy places the organism in Eukaryota, Viridiplantae, Streptophyta, Magnoliopsida, Brassicales, Brassicaceae. The record is from RefSeq and is a predicted model, not a curated record.